GGUCAAGCGAACAAGGGCGCAGGGCGAAUGCCUUGGCACUGGGAGCCGAUGAAAGACGUGAUAAGCUGCGAUAAGCUUCGGGGAGCUGCAAAUAAGCAUUGAUCCGGAGAUUUCUGAAUGAGGAAACUCACCUGGGUUCAUACUCAGGUACAAUACACUGAAAUUCAAAAUAGGUGUAUUGAGGGAACCGCCUGAACUGAAACAUCUAAGUAGGGCGAGGAAGAGACAUCAAACGAGAUUCCGUAAGUAGUGGCGAGCGAACGCGGAAGAGGGCAAACCGAGAGUAGAAAUACUUUCGGGGUACGGACUGCUUUUAAGACUCAAUCUGUUAACCGAACGGCAUGGGAAGGCCGGUCAGAGAGUGUGAGAACCACGUAGGUGAAAACGGAGAGAGCUGCGCAGGAUCCAGAGUACGGCCAGACACGUGAAACCUGGUCGGAAUACGGGGGGACCACCCUCCAACCCUAAAUACUACCCAGUGACCGAUAGCGUAUAGUACUGUGAAGGAAAGGUGAAAAGCACCCCGGGAGGGGAGUGAAAAAGAACCUGAAACCCUGUGCCUACAAGCACCUAGAGCACGUCAAUGUGUGAUAGGGUACUUUUUGUAGAACGGUCCGGCGAGCGAUUGUAUGCAGCAAGGUUAAGGACUUAAGGUCUGGAGCCGAAGCGAAAGCGAGUUUGAAAAGGGCGUUAAGUUGCAUAUAAUGGGCCCGAAACCGGGUGACCUACCCAUGGUCAGGUUGAAGUGGAAGUAAAAUUCCAUGGAGGACCGAACCGACCUCCGUUGAAAAGGCGGCGGAUGAACUGUGGGUAGCGGAGAAAUUCCAAUCGAACCCGGAGAUAGCUGGUUCUCCCCGAAAUAGUUUUAGGACUAGCCUCAAGUUAGAUACCUGGAGGUAAAGCACUGAAUAGCCUAGCGGCCGAGAGGUUAGCGAAGCUUAUCAAACUCAGAAUGCCAGAGUAUUGAUGCUUGGGAGUCAGACAGUGUCAGAUAAAUGUCAUUGUCAAAAGGGAAACAGCCCAGAUCUACAGCUAAGGUCCCAAAGUCAGGUUAAGUGGAAAACGAUGUGAAGAUACGCAGACAACCAGGAUGUUGGCUCAGAAGCAGCCACUCAUUCAAAGAGUGCGUAAUAGCUCACUGGUCGAGCGUCUUUGCGCGGAGAAUUUAACGGGGCUAAACCUGACACCGAAGCUUAGGCAAUACAGCAAUGUAUUGGGUAGGGGAGCGUUGUAUACGCGGAGAAACAGUAGCGUAAGCGGCUGUGGAGUGUAUAGAAGUGAGAAUGCCGGAAUGAGUAGCGCGAAUGCAGUGAGAAUCUGCAUGGCCGAAAGCCUCAGGUUUCUGGAGGAAGGUUCGUCCGCUCCAGGUUAGUCGGGAGCUAAGGUGAGGCCGGAAGGCGUAGCCGAUGCACAGACGGUAGAGAUUCCGUCACCACCAAAAGAGUUAAGCACAGGGACACAUAUGAAGUCUCAGAGCCGGGUGUUGGUUCCGGUAGAGAUCGAGGGAAAUUAGUACCGAAGUCUGAGAUGGAAGAUGGCGAGAAAAGCUGUGUGUAUUUCUGAGGUGCCCGUACCGCAAACCGACACAGGUAGGUAGGAAGAAGAUUCUAAGGCCAACGGGAGAAGGGUUGUUAAGGAACUCGGCAAAUUGACCCCGUAACUUCGGGAGAAGGGGUGCUCCAGAGAUGGAGCCGCAGAGAAUCGGCCCAAGCAACUGUUUACCAAAAACACAGGUUUGUGCUAAAUCGAAAGAUGACGUAUACGAGCUGACGCCUGCCCGGUGCUGGAAGGUUAAGAGGAGAUGUGCAAGCAUUGAAUCGAAGCCCCAGUGAACGGCGGCCGUAACUAUAACGGUCCUAAGGUAGCGAAAUUCCUUGUCAGGUAAGUUCUGACCCGCAUGAAAGGCGUAAUGAUUUGGGCACUGUCUCAACAGCCCGCCCGGCGAAAUUGUAGUACCGGUGAAGAUGCCGGUUACCCGCGACAAGACGGAAAGACCCCAUGGAGCUUUACUGUAGCCUAAUAUUGGGUUUCGAUGUUGCAUGCACAGGAUAGAUGGGACUCUUGGAAACCAAGGCUUUGGCUUUGGCGGAGAGGCCGUUGGGAUACCAUCCUUGCGAUAUUGGAAUUCUAACCUGCGGCUCUGAAUCGAGUCGGGGGACAUUGUUAGGUGGGCAGUUUGACUGGGGCGGUCGCCUCCUAAAGAGUAACGGAGGCGUUCAAAGGUUCGCUCAGCUUGAACGGAAAUCAAGCAAAAGAGUGCAAACGCAGAAGCGAGCCUAACUGCGAGACUGACGGGUCGAGCAGUAACGAAAGUUGGAGUUAGUGAUCCGGUGGUAUGUGAGUGGAAAUGCCAUCGCUCAACGGAUAAAAGUUACCCUGGGGAUAACAGGCUGAUCUCCCCCAAGAGUCCACAUCGACGGGGAGGUUUGGCACCUCGAUGUCGGCUCAUCGCAUCCUGGGGCUGUAUUCGGUCCCAAGGGUUUGGCUGUUCGCCAAUUAAAGCGGUACGCGAGCUGGGUUCAGAACGUCGUGAGACAGUUCGGUCCCUAUCUGUCGUGGGCGCAGGAUAUUUGAUGGGAGCUGUCCCUAGUACGAGAGGACCGGGACGGACGUACCUCUGGCGCACCAGUUGUUCCGCCAGGAGCAUAGCUGGGCAACUACGUACGGAUCGGAUAAACGCUGAAAGCAUCUAAGCGUGAAGCCGACCCAAAGAUAAGAUAUCCCACUGAUUGAAUCAGGUAAGAUCCCUUGUAGACUACGAGGUUGAUAGGCACGAUGUGUAAGUGGAGUGAUCCAUUCAGCAAGUGUGUACUAAUAGAUCGAGGGCUUGACCAC
This 2835-nucleotide ribosomal RNA is filed under the name Faecalibacterium sp. I2-3-92. RNAcentral describes it as "Faecalibacterium sp. I2392 23S ribosomal RNA". It matches the Rfam family "Bacterial large subunit ribosomal RNA". The record is from RNAcentral. Lineage: Bacteria; Bacillati; Bacillota; Clostridia; Eubacteriales; Oscillospiraceae.